GUGGCGGACGGGUGAGUAACAUUUAGGAAUCUACCUAGUAGUGGGGGAUAGCUCGGGGAAACUCGAAUUAAUACCGCAUACGACCUACGGGUGAAAGGGGGCGCAAGCUCUUGCUAUUAGAUGAGCCUAAAUCAGAUUAGCUAGUUGGUGGGGUAAAGGCCCACCAAGGCGACGAUCUGUAACUGGUCUGAGAGGAUGAUCAGUCACACCGGAACUGAGACACGGUCCGGACUCCUACGGGAGGCAGCAGUGGGGAAUAUUGGACAAUGGGGGCAACCCUGAUCCAGCCAUGCCGCGUGUGUGAAGAAGGCCUUUUGGUUGUAAAGCACUUUAAGCAGGGAGGAGAGGCUAAUGGUUAAUACCCAUUAGAUUAGACGUUACCUGCAGAAUAAGCACCGGCUAACUCUGUGCCAGCAGCCGCGGUAAUACAGAGGGUGCGAGCGUUAAUCGGAAUUACUGGGCGUAAAGCGAGUGUAGGUGGCUCAUUAAGUCACAUGUGAAAUCCCCGGGCUUAACCUGGGAACUGCAUGUGAUACUGGUGGUGCUAGAAUAUGUGAGAGGGAAGUAGAAUUCCAGGUGUAGCGGUGAAAUGCGUAGAGAUCUGGAGGAAUACCGAUGGCGAAGGCAGCUUCCUGGCAUAAUAUUGACACUGAGAUUCGAAAGC
This 664-nucleotide ribosomal RNA is filed under the name uncultured Enhydrobacter sp. Its description in RNAcentral is "bacterial SSU rRNA". It matches the Rfam family "Bacterial small subunit ribosomal RNA", at positions 95 to 760 of the family's 1533-position model. The record is from RNAcentral. Lineage: Bacteria; Pseudomonadati; Pseudomonadota; Alphaproteobacteria; Hyphomicrobiales.